UGGGGAAUCUUGCACAAUGGGGGCAACCCUGAUGCAGCGACGCCGCGUGAGCGAUGAAGCCCUUCGGGGCGUAAAGCUCUUUCGACCGGAACGAUAAUGACGGUACCGGGAGAAGAAGCUGCGGCUAACUACGUGCCAGCAGCUGCGGUAAUACGUAGGCAGCAAGCGUUGUUCGGAGUUACUGGGCGUAAAGGGCGCGUAGGCGGCGCAGUAAGGCACUUGUGAAAUCUCUGAGCUUAACUCAGAACGGCCAAGUGAUACUGCUGUGCUAGAGUGCGGAAGAGGCAACCGGAAUUCUUGGUGUAGCGGUGAAAUCCGUAGAUAUCAAGAGGAACACCUGAGGCGAAGGCGGGUUGCUGGGCCGACACUGACGCUGAUGCGCGAAAG
This 387-nucleotide ribosomal RNA is filed under the name uncultured bacterium. RNAcentral's name for it is "bacterial SSU rRNA". It matches the Rfam family "Bacterial small subunit ribosomal RNA", at positions 355 to 759 of the family's 1533-position model. The record is from RNAcentral.